UGGUGUGUAGCUUAGGGGGGUAGAGUAGUAAGCUUUUAACUUAAAGGGGGUUGGUUCAAGUCCAACGGCAUCAG
Molecule: transfer RNA, 74 nt
Filed under: Tethya actinia
Lineage: Eukaryota; Metazoa; Porifera; Demospongiae; Tethyida; Tethyidae
Description: tRNA-Lys
Rfam family: tRNA
About the family: Transfer RNA (tRNA) molecules are approximately 80 nucleotides in length.
Source: RNAcentral